CAUGCAAGUCGAGCGAACAGACGAGGAGCUUGCUCCUUUGACGUUAGCGGCGGACGGGUGAGUAACACGUAGGUAACCUACCUAUAAGACUGGGAUAACUUCGGGAAACCGGAGCUAAUACCGGAUAAUAUUUCGAACCGCAUGGUUCGAUAGUGAAAGAUGGCUUUGCUAUCACUUAUAGAUGGACCUGCGCCGUAUUAGCUAGUUGGUAAGGUAACGGCUUACCAAGGCAACGAUACGUAGCCGACCUGAGAGGGUGAUCGGCCACACUGGAACUGAGACACGGUCCAGACUCCUACGGGAGGCAGCAGUAGGGAAUCUUCCGCAAUGGGCGMAAGCCUGACGGAGCAACGCCGCGUGAGUGAUGAAGGUCUUCGGAUCGUAAAACUCUGUUAUUAGGGAAGAACAAACGUGUAAGUAACUGUGCACGUCUUGACGGUACCUAAUCAGAAAGCCACGGCUAA
Molecule: ribosomal RNA, 464 nt
Filed under: Staphylococcus hominis subsp. novobiosepticus
Lineage: Bacteria; Bacillati; Bacillota; Bacilli; Caryophanales; Staphylococcaceae
Description: bacterial SSU rRNA
Rfam family: Bacterial small subunit ribosomal RNA
Source: RNAcentral